RNAcentral lists this ribosomal RNA (468 nucleotides) under uncultured bacterium. RNAcentral's name for it is "partial 16S ribosomal RNA". It matches the Rfam family "Bacterial small subunit ribosomal RNA", at positions 28 to 507 of the family's 1533-position model. The record is from RNAcentral.
GACGAACGCUGGCGGCGUGCUUAACACAUGCAAGUCGAACGGACAGGCCCUGCUUUUGUGGGGUGCUCGAGUGGCGAACGGGUGAGUAACACGUGAGUAACCUGCCCUUGACUUUGGGAUAACUUCAGGAAACUGGGGCUAAUACCGGAUAGGAGCUCCUGCUGCAUGGUGGGGGUUGGAAAGUUUCGGCGGUUGGGGGUGGACUCGCGGCUUAUCAGCUUGUUGGUGGGGUAGUGGCUUACCAGGGCUUUGACGGGUAGCCGGCGUGAGAGGGUGACCGGCCACAUUGGGGCUGAGGUACAGGCCCAACUCCUCCCGGGGGCAGCAGUGGGGAAUAUUGCACCAUGGGCGGGAGCCUGAUGCAGCAACGCCGCGUGCGGGAUGACGGCCUUCGGGUUGUAAACCGCUUUCGCCUGUGGCGAAGCCGGAGUGACGGUAAUGGGUAAAGAAGCACCGGCUAACUACGUG